CCGCAUUGGGAGGGGCUCGCGGCCCAUUAGCUUGUUGGUGGGGUAACGGCCUACCAAGGCAACGAUGGGUAGCUGGUCUGAGAGGACGAUCAGCCACACUGGGACUGAGACACGGCCCAG
RNAcentral lists this ribosomal RNA (120 nucleotides) under uncultured bacterium. RNAcentral describes it as "partial 16S ribosomal RNA". It matches the Rfam family "Bacterial small subunit ribosomal RNA", at positions 215 to 334 of the family's 1533-position model. The record is from RNAcentral.